This is a long non-coding RNA of Salvelinus fontinalis (brook trout), 3393 nucleotides long. RefSeq lists it as uncharacterized. Lineage: Eukaryota; Metazoa; Chordata; Actinopteri; Salmoniformes; Salmonidae. The record is from RefSeq and is a predicted model, not a curated record. The transcript is spliced from 5 exons.
UAGAAGACAUUUUGUUUUUGUGCUCUUUUCACACCAGCGCUCCCUUUUCCCACAGAAACCCUCUCCUUUCUCCCGCUCCAAGGCAGCCCUUUUCAAGCUGGGAAGCUCCAGGCAGGAUCAUGGAGGCAGGAGCAGCCGUCCCUCUAGUCCCUGUCUCAGCCCAGCCGCUGGGGUCUGCAUGGGGCUGAGAAAGCCACCCCCUCGUCAGUACUCUCCACGAACCCAUCCUCAUCCCAGUUUCCCCUCCCCCUGCCUCUGGCCCUGUCGUCUGGGAGCCCCCAAAGGUGUGACACCUCACACAGGGAUCGGAGAGCAGGAGCCCCGGGGGCCAGUCAGAGCUGGACAAGGUGACCACCAGCAGCACCCUCUUCUGAGGCCAGCCCAUCCAUUACCCUGUCAACACGCCCACUUCCACACCUUACUUCGGGCUCCGCACAGAACAAUGGCUGUAAUGAAAUCAUCAGUAAUCCCCCAAAAUCAUCUCGUCACGCUCAAGGUAGCCAUGCCAACCCCAUUGGAGAUGUAUGUUUGAAGAUAAUCAUAGGAAAUCCUCCACCCCACCCAGAGAAACCCUCUCCAGGUCAGCAGCAACCCUGGAGUACCCUACUACCUGACAGUGUUUUUCAGAAGUGUGGCGAGAGAGAGGAGCGUCAGAAACAUGAAACUUAAGAUAGCAGAGUGGAAGAAGAGAACAAGUCGUUAGCACUUUGAAACCAGACACCGGGAGGUAGCAGAUCCAUUGGGUGGCUAAGGAUCAUGGGUAUAGUGCGUCACGUGUAUGUCAGUGUGUCAGCGUGUGUGUGCGUUCAUAUGUGUGUGUGAAUGUGUGUGUGAGUGUGUGUGUGUGUGUGUGUGUGUGUGGGGAGGUGGAUGCUGACAGGGUCUCUCUCUCUUUCUCUCUCUCCCAGGUUGACUGGGUCACUCGGGGGGCCCCGGACCCCACACAAUGCCCUGGCAGCAGUGUGGGCUUUACUGGGCCUCUACAGAGCAGCGACGAGCUGCUAGCUUUACGAGAGACAGACGGAUGGAUCCCUUCACCUCGCGCCAUAAAGCCACCAGUCGGGGAUAAAAGAGGGCAGGUGCGAGGGCAAGCAUUGAGAGCUCACCUGCACCCAGCAGGGAACAGCCUCUAUCCAGCCAACCCAAGAGGGCCUCCACAUUCAGCCUCCUCUCACUAACACCACUAAUGGGGAACAGGGGCACUGUCAAAGAAGAGGAGAAUCAUUCCUUGUUUUGGAUGGCCUGGGAUCCUUAUUAGCUGUUAGUGCUAGAACACAGCUAUAAUGGUGAAGAGUUCAGUGCAGUUAACACAGAUGUUGACAGUGCAGUGCAGAGCAGGCUGCAACAGGUUGCUGCUAAAAGCUGUAAUUACAGUAUGAUCUGGAGACUCUAGUUACUGGGAGAGUGGUGGGAUCCUUGUUGGAGGGAGAACAUGGUUAGGUAACAGGUUGAUCAGGAGUCUGACAGGGAAUGGGACAUACAGACAGACUAACUGACAGAGGGUCAGGAUUGGAGACAGGAGGCAGGCAAGGUGGCAGAUGGGCUAAGCGACAGACAGACAGGUAGGCAUGGAGUCAUGGAGCCAGGCAGUCAGGGAGGCAAGCUGUCGACCCACCCUGGGUAGCUUCUGCCUUCCCUGUUGGAGUGACAGAUGUGUGGUGAAUCUUUAGCUCUCCUCAGAGCUCCUCACUCUCCACUGUCACCGCAUCUGUCCCUGGCAAUGUCACCUCCUCAGUCCCCCUUGGCUCAGCCCCCUCCUGUGUAAAUGCAGGACAACAAAAAUGAGUUCAGCGGACUUAUUGAUUAGUCCAGCCUGCACUGGGUAGCUUCAUUUAAUGACCUCUGUGACUCAUCAUUGACAAGGCUUUGUCUUUGUGAUUAGUUCAAAAUUUCACUGGGAAUAUGGGAACCCUGUGUCUCACUCAGUAGGACAAUUUAAACAGAACAUCUGUAGCCUAGCGGAUCAAUGCAAAAAUGUGCAUGUUGAUCUACAGUGCAGAAUGAUGAGCAUAUUUGAAUAUGUUGACAUGGAUCAAGCAGAUAAACAUUUGGACAAUGAUAAGUGGGUCAUGUUUGUGGGACAACAACAACAGCAAAGAAGAGGUCAACGUAUGCUCUCAACCGAACACAACGUCCUGUCUCAUUGUCUGCCUUAAACCCCACUGUAAAAAACUUAUACUGCCUCGGCCAUAGUAGAUGGUAAGUAGCAUUUUAUCCUCAUCGGUCUAAUCUUCUCAGACGUCUCAACGUUAAAGUGUCUGGACUCGCCGUCUCCCAUCCACUGUCCCUCUCUCCCACUCAGCUCAGCUCAGCCUGGCCUUGGCGAGAGAUGGUUUAUUUAAAUUGAAAAUUAGCAAAACAAAACAAGGGCAAGAGGAUCCCUGAAUGGGGCCCCUUUCUAUGGGAGCUCCUGUGCCGUUGAAUAAUGCAUAUGGGAGAAAGUAAACAGCAGCCUCGGGCCCAGCCCAGGGAACAAUGGGCCGCACACAGCCCAACCACGACGCCUGAUUUUAUUACGGGCCCUGUCAGUCCCCUCCUCCCUCCCUCCCUCCAUCCCUCCCUCCAGUACCUCCUCUAGCCUGGGAAUCGUGGGACGCAGGCCAGGCAGCAGCUGCUGACCGCUCCACACUGACCCAACACACUCCGCGACCUGCAGGAUAACUCCACACACACGCCCUCCCAGCCAGCACACACCACCACUGCAUACCUCCACUGUCACAGCCUGCAUGCCUGCCUACCACCACUACAGUGCAUACAUAUACACAGUCACACCAGGCAGCAACUGGUUGGCCACAUCCAGAUGGUGUCUUGUGAGGAAAUGUUUGAAUGCGCUGAAUGUUCGAAACAUAGAAUUUAUGUUUUUGUUCUUGUCAUGAAUGACUGACUCAUUUAGACUCAGGAAAAUAUCAGACUUUACCAACUCCAACCCCUAUUUCUGAAAUCUUGGCUUGGACAGUGACGGGUCACUGUGGCCACUUGUGAACUUUUCUCUCCACUAGAACAUUCUGUCUGUGUGUGUUCUCUCUCCGAUCAGGCUGGCAUUGAGAUUCCGGUCUUGCUUCUGGCUUCAGCCUGGGCCGGUUGCCAUGCCGACGGGCAAAUUGGCUAGCAGGAUGAGUAGUGAUGUGAUGUGGCUGUGGCUUUAAAGUCCCAACAAAGACUGUAUUACAACCCAAUCUUUGCAUAACACACUAUUGUUGUCACGUUCUACUGAUAUUAAUCCUCCUGCUGCUGGAGACGUGUGUGUCUCUCUGUGGAAAGGUGUUGUGUGUGUGUGUAUGUGCGUGCGUGAACGUGUGUGUAUGGCUGGACACCAGAAGUCACACUAAAGAUUAUCUACAGUCACAACGACUGAAGAUACAUAUAGAAUAAAAUAAAGGAUUUUGCAAUGAU